Molecule: ribosomal RNA, 459 nt
Filed under: Triticum aestivum (bread wheat)
Lineage: Eukaryota; Viridiplantae; Streptophyta; Magnoliopsida; Poales; Poaceae
Description: partial small subunit ribosomal RNA
Source: RNAcentral
AUGAAAAAAAAAUUAUACAUGAAAGUUACUGAGAACGACGAGACGAAUCCGGAUACACCCUCCGUUCGUCUGCCACACACCCCUAGCUUAGCGAACAUGCAACUUCCCCUCUCCGGUUCAUCUGUCCGAAAACGCGAAACACCGGGGAUACUUUUCCGGAUGUUUUCCCCCUUCGCCGGUAUCACCUCCUACCGCGUUAGGUCACACCCGGCACAUCUUAUUGCCAUGUUAUGCUUUGUGGUCCUAUGUUUGCUUUAUAUUUACGGUUUCUUCCCCCUCUUGUCUCCGGUAGACCCCGAGACAGAUCUUGCCCUUGUGAUCGACUACGUCGACGAUGACCCCUCCUUACCAGAGCAACCAGGCAAGCAAACCCCCCUUGAGCAUUCCGAUAUCGCCCAUUUCUUUCCCCCUCAUGCUUGCAUUAGAACUGCUACUGCUUUAUGUAUGAUCCUACUCUGA